AACUUUAUCUCUAACCCCACCCUGGCCUGCUUUCCCUCGCCUGCCACUCGGGACGUGGAGGAAGACAGGCUUCACGGUGACCCUGAAGGAAACACACCUCAGUCCUCCCCCGCCCCUCCGCCCCGCCUCCCGGCCCUUGAUCGACUCCGGGAGCCAGGCCUCCAGGCUGUGGAGGUUCUUUGGAGGUGUUGCCAGGACAAUGGAUGUGCCCAGGUUGGAGAUCUACUGACCGGGAGCGCGGUGCGAGGACUGCUGGUUAUCUAGAGCCCUCUGCUUACCCAGCCAGGCUCCUCCCUUCUGCUUCAGGUCACAGAGAGCAGCCUGGGCAAAUCCUUAGAGUGGGAACCUGUUGGGGCCAUCUGCUUCUUCUGUAAGUGACUUCUUCCUGAAAUAAAUUAUAUUUAAUAUUUGAACCUAGUCCUGUG
This 425-nucleotide long non-coding RNA is filed under the name Cricetulus griseus (Chinese hamster). Its description in RNAcentral is "lncRNA (ENSCGRG00000024418.1)". The record is from RNAcentral. Lineage: Eukaryota; Metazoa; Chordata; Mammalia; Rodentia; Cricetidae.